RNAcentral lists this long non-coding RNA (355 nucleotides) under Chinchilla lanigera (long-tailed chinchilla). Its description in RNAcentral is "lncRNA (ENSCLAG00000026557.1)". Lineage: Eukaryota; Metazoa; Chordata; Mammalia; Rodentia; Chinchillidae. The record is from RNAcentral.
UUGUAACCCAAGACCCUCCAAAGACAGCUCGGGGAGCCAAUCAGAUUGUGACAAGUUCCAGUUAUCCUGUUCUAAAGAAGAGCUGACCCGCAUAAGCAUAAACAGAGAAGACAGGGCAAAAGAGGAGAGGCCUGGACCCUAGGCCUCAAGAUACCCAUAAGAAAGAAAAUACAAAGUGGAUGGACCUGUCAGGAAACUGCUAAGUCCAUGUGGAGCUCCCAAAAGAAAGGAACCGGGUGAGAUGACAUUUCUGGUUUCUUCAAACUAACAAACUUCUCUUCAAGCAAGUUUUGGGAAGAAGUCUGGUAUGCUCCCUCCUCUGUUGAUUAGUUUUGAGGUUGUUGUCUCCUUCCUU